UCAACCAACUGAGCCACCCAGGCAUCUUGGUUUUUUCAAUUUUAAAUUACUAGGUGAACAUGAGAGUUUAUCAGGCUCACUAUCUCAGAUCCUAAAGAUAACAAUAAAGAAGAGAUGUUAGCAGUAAAAUGUCAUCAUACAAGACCGAAUUGAAUUUGGUCCUUCCUCAAUGCGCCUGCCCUUUCCCCAGACCAUUUGUUCUAGAUUCCCUGACUCUGGAGUUGGGAGCCUUAAACGCUUUCAUUCUGGAAUUUGCGGCCAUGAGGGGUGCCCUGUGGCCUUCAUCAACACAGACAUGGUUCCAUGUGAUGCUCCUAAGCCCCCUUGAGGCUGCUGCCAUAGAAAGAGAACCCUGGACUACGGAAACCGGGCAUCCUAGACUUUACGUGCAAUAAGUGAGGAAGCUCCAAAUUCCCUGGGACUGUUUCACUUCCAAGAAUCCAUUCUGUGAUGGAAACAGUGGGGGUUAGAAGAUCCAACGCCAUGAGAGACUCCAAGGGAAAUGCAAGGCGUGGUCCUCGAACAGUCGCAGACAUUCACAGGAACUAAAAGGACGUCUGCCACAUCUGACCCAGAAAACUAAUUUUAUAUCCUUUUUUCUCAUAAGUAAUACAGAGAAGGGUUUAUAUGAGGCCUUUUGGUAACAUAGUCUACAUUCUUUUAUUGUGUAUUUAUUUAUUCGGCAUCUACUACGUGAAUGAGAGAGGUCUUGCCCUUCCCAUCAUGUUGAGUCUAGGGAGAUAAACAGCUGGUAGGAUCACAUCUCUUAGGAUCCGAGAUUUGUCUAUCAUCAUCCAUCAACCCUUUCCCCUUUAAUCUGGUCAGAGAGCUGCUAGUGAAGAGUGUCUGAGGGAAACUCUAAGGAAACACAGACCCUAGAGGAAGCAGAAAAAAGCAAAGUUGACAGAAUGUCUUCGUAUCGAUCUACCUUUUCUUGUAUCUGCUUUUUCUUUUCUCUACAGGCCCCUCCCCGUCUCCAAUUUGAACAUAAACUCCAGAAGAACCAUGUUUUGGUCAUCAGUCUACCCCAAAGCCUAGAAAGGUGCCUGCCACAUAGAACUUGUGCCAAGCUUGGGGAGAAGGAACACUGAGGAUCAAAGGCCAAGAUCACAGAAAGCUCUGGGAAAACGAAAUCCUCCCAUGAGUAAGUCUGGGGCAUCCUGCUUUUAAAAACCUUUUGUGGGACCAUAAAAUACCUCACCUCACCACCUUUAAGAAGUUGGCUUCAGGAAUGAGAGCAAACUGAAUUGCACGGAGCUGAAAACAAGCCCACAGACUCAUGACCUGAGCCAGGAGCAGACUCCAGAGCAAAGUGUUGUAGACAAGCUGGUACUUUACAUGCCUAAGAACACGGUCAUUUACAACCCAGAGAAAUGAGCUAAAUGGGAAGGACUCUGGCUCCAGAAGAACACAACAGAGGCCUGGCCUUCGUAACUGUAAGCUGCACUCUGUUGAUUUCUUAUCCUUUGCUUUAAAACUCAGAGUUCUUCUACAGCGUUUGCUGUAUCUGCAAA
Molecule: long non-coding RNA, 1514 nt
Organism: Prionailurus viverrinus (fishing cat)
Lineage: Eukaryota; Metazoa; Chordata; Mammalia; Carnivora; Felidae
Exons: 7
Source: RefSeq, a predicted model, not a curated record